RNAcentral lists this ribosomal RNA (301 nucleotides) under uncultured bacterium. RNAcentral describes it as "partial 16S ribosomal RNA". It matches the Rfam family "Bacterial small subunit ribosomal RNA", at positions 509 to 807 of the family's 1533-position model. The record is from RNAcentral.
CAGUCGCCGCGGUAAUACGAAGGGUGCAAGCGUUACUCGGAAUUACUGGGCGUAAAGCGCACGCAGGCGGUCUGUCAAGUCAGAUGUGAAAUCCCCGGGCUUAACCUGGGAACUGCAUUUGAAACUGGCAGGCUAGAGUCUUGUAGAGGGGGGUAGAAUUCCAGGUGUAGCGGUGAAAUGCGUAGAGAUCUGGAGGAAUACCGGUGGCGAAGGCGGCCCCCUGGACAAAGACUGACGCUCAGGUGCGAAAGCGUGGGGAGCAAACAGGAUUAGAUACCCCGGUAGUCCCUGUCUCUUAUAC